RNAcentral lists this ribosomal RNA (502 nucleotides) under uncultured bacterium. RNAcentral describes it as "bacterial SSU rRNA". It matches the Rfam family "Bacterial small subunit ribosomal RNA", at positions 21 to 518 of the family's 1533-position model. The record is from RNAcentral.
GGUUCAGGAUGAACGCUAGCGGCAGGCUAACACAUGCAAGUCGAGGGGCAUCGGGAGUAGCAAUACUGCCGGCGACCGGCGCAAGGGUGCGUAACGCGUGAGCAACAUGCCCGUAUCAGGGGGGAUAAUCCAUGGAAACGUGGUCUAAUACCCCAUAGUAAUUAUGUAAGGCAUCUUAUAUAAUUUAAAGCUUUGGUGGAUACGGAUUGGCUCGCGUGACAUUAGCUAGAUGGUAAGGUAACGGCUUACCAUGGCUACGAUGUCUAGGGGUUCUGAGAGGAAGGUCCCCCACACUGGAACUGAGACACGGUCCAGACUCCUACGGGAGGCAGCAGUGAGGAAUAUUGGACAAUGGAUGGAAAUCUGAUCCAGCCAUGCCGCGUGCAAGGAAGACGGCCCUAUGGGUUGUAAACUGCUUUUGUAUGGGAGCAAUAAGGGCUACGCGUAGUCCGAUGAGAGUACCAUACGAAUAAGCACCGGCUAACUCCGUGCCAGCAGCCGC